CAGGUCAGGUCAAGCAUAGCCUGGAUCUCACCACAUUCUUACGGGAUUGAAGGAUGUAAUAUUAAUGACUCAGUAGGCUUGGAAUCAGCCAAUCAGCAAGUGCUCCUUGAACCCCUUGAUAUGGAAGGUACAGGUAGAGGUGAUGUAGGGAGAAGGUGGAGCCAACACUCAGCCCACUGCCCAUCAGCAGUAAGGCCAAAGG
Molecule: long non-coding RNA, 202 nt
Filed under: Homo sapiens (human)
Lineage: Eukaryota; Metazoa; Chordata; Mammalia; Primates; Hominidae
Description: HSALNT0273134
Source: RNAcentral